Molecule: non-coding RNA, 73 nt
Organism: Stegodyphus mimosarum
Lineage: Eukaryota; Metazoa; Arthropoda; Arachnida; Araneae; Eresidae
Source: Rfam
GCCUUCGUGGUGUAGUGGUCAGCAAACUCGGCAUGUAUUCGAGAGGCCCAUGGUUCGAGUCCCGGCGAGGGCA